UAAACAUUUUAAGUAGGCCUGGAAAAGGAAAAGUCCAAAUUAUAUUUACGUAUUAUCGAAACCAAAAAAAAGAAAACUUCUUACACACACUGAGGCACAAAGACAGCACACAGUAAAAAAAUAAAUAAACAACAAUUAUCAUAUCUUGCAGAGAAAGCUAGGUAAUAGACAAGACGCCAAGAUGAAUCGCAUAGAUACUACCAUGGAUGACAUGGCCAAUACAAAAUUUCUGACGCUCUACAGUAGUUUGAUCAAACAGUUUUCGGCCUCCACGGAGUUUACCCACACUGAAGUUGUCUGCCUUCUUAUUAUCUACUACAAAUUCGUGCAGAUCAAUGGGCCGACUGCCAAGCAGAUGAAAAAGAAGCAAAUGUACAAUCUAUUCCUGGUGCUCUUUCGCAUCUACGACAUGACCCUUAUAGAACGUAUAUUGCUAAAUAUCACCGCCGAUGUUAUCUACAUCGGCCCGGAGGCCUGGAUGAAGUUAUUCUCAGUGUUCCUGAGCAAAAACUUGGAGACACGCAUGCAGUUUGCAUAUAAGGUGUACACAACAUCUUCCUCUGGCGUUCUAAAUCGCGAAACUGUUGGCAUGGCCAUCAACAAUUUCUUUGUAGGUGAAGAUGACGAUGAGGUCAAAGAGUUGCAGGCGGAUAUGACCGAGUUUAUAUUCAAUAAAUUUGAUUUGGACAAGGAUGGCGUCAUCUCAUAUGAGGAAUAUUAUGAGAUUGUAAGUAAUCAGCCGGUACUGUUGGAAUUUCUGGGACAGAUAUUUCCCGAUUUAUCCGACCUUACCACAAUUGCAUAUUGCACAAAUAUUGCAACGCUCUUUCCUGGCGAAGAUUAACUUUGAUUGAUUUUGUCUUACAAUUUUAAUGCAUUUUCAUUUAUAUAUAGUAGCAUAUGUGUGGGCUUUUUGGAUUUAAAACAUAGCCAAAGUUAGGAUGGAAUUUCGCUGAGCUCUAAAAACUCAUGUAGAUUUGUUGAAAUAACCGAAACUUAAACUUCUCUAAAUGGGAUUGGGUAUAAUAUAUAAAUCAGGCAAUGUUGUCCGCUGAAUAAUGAUUAACCAUUUUGAUUUUCGAAUACUGUAUAAAUUAAUAAUGAAAUAUUGUCCAAUAAAGUAACAAGCGAACAUUGAAUGACAUAAAUAUCCAUUAAAAA
RNA transcript from Drosophila virilis, 1161 nucleotides. It is a transcript of the gene named calaxin, with no coding region annotated. The record is from RefSeq and is a predicted model, not a curated record. Lineage: Eukaryota; Metazoa; Arthropoda; Insecta; Diptera; Drosophilidae.